Molecule: long non-coding RNA, 1421 nt
Organism: Vespa velutina
Lineage: Eukaryota; Metazoa; Arthropoda; Insecta; Hymenoptera; Vespidae
Exons: 2
Source: RefSeq, a predicted model, not a curated record
AAUAAAAGAAAAAAGAGAAAACGUUCUCAUUCCAUGACGCAUGUAUGUAUGUACGUACACCACAGAUUGGAAAAAAGAACACAAACUGGUCUGUUUUUAUUUCUUUAGAGAUAGAUAUGUAUACGGACACUCACGUAGCACGUGUUCAACACACCGGUAGAUCGAUACUAUAUUGAAAUAUUCACUGUGAGUUAUGUGAUGCACCAGUUGGUCUCGCUCUAGGUAGAUCGUCAAGGUUUCUUCCUGGGCUCCCGUAGAAGGUCACUUUGUUAUCCAAUCCAACGAGGGAGAAAACAAAGAGAGAAAGAGAGAGAGAGAGAGAGAGAGAGAGAGAGAGAGAAAGAGAAAAGAAAAAAGAAAAAAGAAAAAAGAAAAAGAAACGGGUGAUAAAUCCUCGUCACUUUUCUUCGAUCUUUACGAUCGAAGAGAAACGGAUUACGGCCCUGAAGUUUUCCUUAGCCAUCUCUUAUGCGAACGAAUACUUGCGACUAGUAGGACGCGAAUAGGAAGAAAUAGAAAAUUCUUGAACUUGAUGGAUGAUUAAGUGAAAAUAAAAGAGGACGCGGGUGGUAAGGAGGUAAGGAGGGACCGAGCGAUUCUCUAGGAUCACGCUAUUCCGCACGAGUGGCACCCCCUCACUGCCAGAACAAUUGUCCUUGAAACAUUCUUCGGCAUUUUUUAUCUUACUCGAUGACGCAGUAAAGAAGAAGAAGAAGAAGAAGAAGAAGAAGAAAAAAAAGAAAAAAUAAAUAAAUAAAUUAAACGAACGAUUUAUCUUAUAUCUUUUUCUAUGCUCGAGAUCAAGAUCGGAGGCCCGUCUGUCUCUGUCCUCUAGUGGCUUGCCAAAAGUCACUCCUGACGCACGAAUUUUGGCACUCACUUGUGAACGGAGGAACAUUUUUACUUGAAGUUUACGCUUCGCAAGACAUUGACGACGGAAAGGUAGACAGAAAGAAAGAAAGAGAGAGAGAGACAGAAAGAGAGAGAGAGAGAGAGAGAGAGAGAGAGAGAAGGGGGAUGGGGAUGAGAAUGAGGAUGAGGGUGAGGGUGAGGGAAAGGAAAAUGGAGGGAGAUACGCGGACAAAACAAUCGGCCAUUCUUUUCUCUCGUCAGGAUGGUACUAUUACUUGGAAGAAUUUAUGGCUUUGAUACUAAGAUUUGGCAAACUCUUCGAAUUCAAACGAGAAACACACAUCGAGCAGUUUACAUCUUGGAUAUUGAAUUGAAUGUCCCUUUUGGAUUUAUUUACGAUCGCGUUGCGUCUCUCUCUCUUUCUCUCUUUUUCUAUCUAUCUUUAGUUUUCCAUCUUUUUUUUCAUUUUCUUUUUAUUUUUAUUUUUUUUUUUUUUUUAUUUCCUAUAUCAUCGAAGUUACGUGAAAUAUGAGACUAUCGCAUUGCUUUUACGUACACACAUACAUAAA